UUUUCCUCGGCACUUUUGCACCAAAUGGUUGCUCUUGGGGGUGAUUGUUUGGUCUUUGUAAAUUAUAGUGUGUGGUCUAGACCUACUCAAUCUCUAAA
This is a long non-coding RNA of Etheostoma cragini (Arkansas darter), 98 nucleotides long. RefSeq lists it as uncharacterized. The transcript has 3 exons. Lineage: Eukaryota; Metazoa; Chordata; Actinopteri; Perciformes; Percidae. The record is from RefSeq and is a predicted model, not a curated record.